This is a long non-coding RNA of Cucurbita maxima (winter squash), 592 nucleotides long. RefSeq lists it as uncharacterized. The record is from RefSeq and is a predicted model, not a curated record. Lineage: Eukaryota; Viridiplantae; Streptophyta; Magnoliopsida; Cucurbitales; Cucurbitaceae. The transcript has 2 exons.
UUUUUUUUUUUUUUUGCUUCUGUCAAGAAGAUCAAUUGCAGCUUAACGUCAAUUCUUCUCCUCUGGUCAUCAUAUAGAAAAUGCUUCAUUGACACGGCUUGCAUGGCAAGGUGUGGAACAUUGUUGUUUUCUUGAAAAAAUCAGAUUCAGCAGAAACUAAUUGUGUAACAUAUUCCUAUUGAAAAUUAGGCUGUUGGCCAUAAAUUUUAUUUGCAAUAUUAAAUUUCCUUGGAUUUUUACUGCCUACAUAGUUCAAAUUUAUCUCCUUUUAAUAUUUGAAUUGUGUUUGCAAAAGAUGGUUGGUGGGAAGGGGAGGGCGGUCUUUGCUUCUCGUUGAUGAAGAGUUUGACAGUUACGAUAGUUUUUCAAAGUAUCAAAGCUAACAGCAGGUUGAGGAGCUUACCUGCAUUGCUCUUGAAGUUAUUAACUUAGUUGUUGAUUCGCACACUUGAGGUACUAAAUGCAAAGUUUGUUUUUGUUUGCAUGUUUUUCAAGUUCCUAAAUAUUUUCUCGACAGUUUUCUUCUUUGAAUGGAAGAGGUUAUUUGGAUCUGUAAUACUGAAAAGUAUGGCUAACCAGACACUAUUAAGCU